AGAUUUGCCGGGAUAUAUUGGAACUUCUAAUUCCUAUAAGGGGGUUCAACUCCUCCAUAAUCUU
Molecule: transfer RNA, 64 nt
Filed under: Eisenia nordenskioldi
Lineage: Eukaryota; Metazoa; Annelida; Clitellata; Crassiclitellata; Lumbricidae
Description: tRNA-Ser
Source: RNAcentral